UUCCGGUUGAUCCUGCCGGACCUGACUGCUAUCGGAUUGAUACUAAGCCAUGCGAGUCUUUGUAGUAAUACAAGGCAUACGGCUCAGUAACGCGUAGUCAACCUACCCUAUGGACAAGAAUAAUCUCGGGAAACUGAGCAUAAUUCUUGAUAGAUCAUAAUGCCUGGAAUGGUUUAUGGUUAAAAUGAUUCGUCGCCAUAGGAUGGGACUGCGGCCUAUCAGCUUGUUGGUGAGGUAAUGGCCCACCAAGGCGAUUACAGGUACGGGCUCUGAGAGGAGAAGCCCGGAGAUGGGUACUGAGACAAGGACCCAGGCCCUAUGGGGCGCAGCAGGCGAGAAAACUUUGCAAUGUGCGAAAGCACGACAAGGUUAGUCCGAGUGAUUUCUGCUAAAGAGAUCUUUUGCUAGUUAUAAAACCACUAGUGAAUAAGGGGUGGGCAAGUUCCGGUGUCAGCCGCCGCGGUAAAACCAGCACCUCAAGUGGUCAGGAUGAUUAUUGGGCCUAAAGCAUCCGUAGCCGGCUCUGUAAGUUUUCGGUUAAAUCUAUGCGCUCAACGUAUGGGCUGCCGAAAAUACUGUAGAGAUAGGGAGUGGGAGAGGUAGACGGUACUCGGUAGGAAGGGGUAAAAUCCUUUGAUCUAUCGAUGACCACCCGUGGCGAAGGCGGUCUACCAGAACACGUUCGACGGUGAGGGAUGAAAGCUGGGGGAGCAAACCGGAUUAGAUACCCGGGUAGUCCCAGCUGUAAACGAUGCAGACUCGAUGAUGCAUUGGCAUAUAGCCAGUGCAGUGUCGCAGGAAAGCCGUUAAGUCUGCCGCCUGGGAAGUACGUACGCAAGUAUGAAACUUAAAGGAAUUGGCGGGGG
RNAcentral lists this ribosomal RNA (866 nucleotides) under uncultured Candidatus Nitrosopumilus sp. RNAcentral's name for it is "bacterial SSU rRNA". It matches the Rfam family "Archaeal small subunit ribosomal RNA", at positions 1 to 874 of the family's 1478-position model. The record is from RNAcentral. Lineage: Archaea; Thermoproteati; Nitrososphaerota; Nitrososphaeria; Nitrosopumilales; Nitrosopumilaceae.